AUUACCAGAGUGCCUUUUGGCUCUCCAACCCACUGUGAACAUACCUACGUUUCCCUCGGCGGGCUCAGCGCGUUGCGGUUCCGCCGCCUCGCGUCCGCCGGGGGCACCCAAACUCGAAUUUACAUCGUGUAUCUCUGAGGGGCGAAAGCCCGUAAAACAAAUGAAUCAAAACUUUCAACAACGGAUCUCUUGGCUCUGGCAUCGAUGAAGAACGCAGCGAAAUGCGAUAAGUAAUGUGAAUUGCAGAAUUCAGUGAAUCAUCGAAUCUUUGAACGCACAUUGCGCCCGCCGGCACUCCGGCGGGCAUGCCUGUCCGAGCGUCAUUUCAACCCUCGGGCCCACCCCUCGCGGGGAACGGGCCCGGCGUUGGGGACCGGAGGCCGCCCCGGCGGCACCCGCCCCCUAAAUUCAGUGGCGGUCGCGCCGCAGCCUCCCCUGCGUAGUAGCACACCUCGCACCGGAGAGCGGCACGGCCACGCCUCGAAACCCCCCAAUUUUUCAGGUUGACCUCGGAUCAGGUAGGAAUACCCGCUGAACUUAAGCAUAUCAAUAAGCGGAGGAAAAGAAACCAACAGGGAUUGCCUCAGUAACGGCGAGUGAAGCGGCAACAGCUCAAAUUUGAAAUCUGGCCGCAAGGUCCGAGUUGUAAUUUGUAGAGGAUGCUUUUGGCGAGGUGACUUCCGAGUUCCCUGGAACGGGACGCCAUAGAGGGUGAGAGCCCCGUACGGUCGUGCCACCGAGCCUCUGUAAAGCUCCUUCGACGAGUCGAGUAGUUUGGGAAUGCUGCUCUAAAUGGGAGGUGUACGUCUUCUAAAGCUAAAUACCGGCCAGAGACCGAUAGCGCACAAGUAGAGUGAUCGAAAGAUGAAAAGCACUUUGAAAAGAGGGUUAAAAAGUACGUGAAAUUGUUGAAAGGGAAGCAUUCAUGACCAGACUUGGGCUUGGUUGAACAUCCGGCGUUCUCGCCGGUGCACUCUGCCAGCUCAGGCCAGCAUCAGUUUGCCCCGGGGGACAAAGGCGGCGGGAAUGUGGCUCCCUACGGGGAGUGUUAUAGCCCGUCGUGUAAUGCCCUGGGGUGGACUGAGGUCGC
Molecule: ribosomal RNA, 1090 nt
Filed under: Hypocreales sp. B1B0763P30CC929
Lineage: Eukaryota; Fungi; Ascomycota; Sordariomycetes; Hypocreales
Description: eukaryotic LSU rRNA
Rfam family: Eukaryotic large subunit ribosomal RNA (bases 505-1090)
Source: RNAcentral